CUCAGGAUGAACGCUAGCGGCAGGCUUAACACAUGCAAGUCGAGGGGUAUUAGUCUUCGGAUUWAGAGACCGGCGCACGGGUGCGUAACGCGUAUGCAAUCUACCUUUCACAGAGGGAUAGCCCAGAGAAAUUUGGAUUAAUACCUCAUAGCAUUAUGACAUGGCAUCAGUAURUUAUUAAAGUCACAACGGUGAAAGAUGAGCAUGCGUCCCAUUAGCUAGUUGGUAAGGUAACGGCUUACCAAGGCUACGAUGGGUAGGGGUCCUGAGAGGGAGAUCCCCCACACUGGUACUGAGACACGGACCAGACUCCUACGGGAGGCAGCAGUGAGGAAUAUUGGACAAUGGGCGCAAGCCUGAUCCAGCCAUGCCGCGUGCAGGAUGACGGUCCUAUGGAUUGUAAACUGCUUUUAUACGAGAAGAAACA
This 427-nucleotide ribosomal RNA is filed under the name Flavobacteriaceae bacterium JJ-385. RNAcentral describes it as "bacterial SSU rRNA". It matches the Rfam family "Bacterial small subunit ribosomal RNA", at positions 23 to 452 of the family's 1533-position model. Lineage: Bacteria; Pseudomonadati; Bacteroidota; Flavobacteriia; Flavobacteriales; Flavobacteriaceae. The record is from RNAcentral.